AGGAGAGUUUGAUUCUGGCUCAGGAUGAACGCUGGCGGCGUGCCUAACACAUGCAAGUCGAACGGACCCAAGGAAGAGAUUAGCUUGCUAUGAACUUCCGGAAGGUUAGUGGCGGACGGGUGAGUAACGCGUGGGCAACCUGCCCUGUACUGGGGGAUAGCAGCUGGAAACGGCUGGUAAUACCGCAUAAGCGCACAGUACCGCAUGGUACAGUGUGAAAAGCUCCGACGGUACAGGAUGGGCCCGCGUCCGAUUAGCCAGUUGGCGGGGUAACGGCCCACCAAAGCGACGAUCGGUAGCCGGCCUGAGAGGGCGGACGGCCACAUUGGGACUGAAACACGGCCCAGACCCCUACCGGAAGGAGCAGUGGGGGAAAUUGCACAAUGGGGGAAACCCUGAUGCAGCGACGCCGCGUGAGUGAAGAAGUAUUUCGGUAUGUAAAGCUCUAUCAUCAGGGAAAAAAAGGACGGUACCUGAGUAAGAAGCCCCGGCUAACUACGUGCCAGCAGCCGCGGUAAUACGUAGGGGGCAAGCGUUAUCCGGAUUUACUGGGUGUAAAGGGAGCGCAAACGGUUGGACAAGUCUGAAGUGAAAUUCCCGGGCUCACCCCUGGGAACUGCUUUGGAAACUGCCCGACUUGAUUGCUGGAGAGGUAGGCGGAAUUCCUGGUGUACCGGUGAAAAUGCGUAGAUAUCAGGAAGAACACCAGUGGCGAAGGCGGCCUAUGGAACAGAAACUGACCGCUGAAGGCGCGAGAGCGGUGGGGAGGCAAAACAGGAUUAGAUACCCUGGUAGUCCCCU
Molecule: ribosomal RNA, 801 nt
Filed under: uncultured Bacillota bacterium
Lineage: Bacteria; Bacillati; Bacillota
Description: bacterial SSU rRNA
Rfam family: Bacterial small subunit ribosomal RNA
Source: RNAcentral